AUUAAAAGAAGAGGAAGAAGAAGAAGAAGAGAUGCUGCGACUCA
Molecule: small RNA, 44 nt
Filed under: Arabidopsis thaliana (thale cress)
Lineage: Eukaryota; Viridiplantae; Streptophyta; Magnoliopsida; Brassicales; Brassicaceae
Description: ATSL082110
Source: RNAcentral